Molecule: ribosomal RNA, 253 nt
Filed under: uncultured bacterium
Lineage: Bacteria
Description: partial 16S ribosomal RNA
Rfam family: Bacterial small subunit ribosomal RNA
Source: RNAcentral
UACGAAGGGGGCUAGCGUUGCUCGGAAUUACUGGGCGUAAAGGGCUCGUAGGCGGCCAACUAAGUCGGACGUGAAAUCCCCAGGCUCAACCUGGGAACUGCGUCCGAUACUGGAUGGCUUGAAUCCGGGAGAGGGAUGCGGAAUUCCAGGUGUAGCGGUGAAAUGCGUAGAUAUCUGGAGGAACACCGGUGGCGAAGGCGGCAUCCUGGACCGGCAUUGACGCUGAGGAGCGAAAGCCAGGGGAGCAAACGGG